UAGAGUUGUAAAACUCCCUAAAACCCAUGUGAACAUACCUGUUGCCUCGGCGGGCCUACCCUAUAGCUACCCUGUAGCUACUGGGGGAGUGACCGCCGAAGGACUACCAAACUCUUUUAUCUCUGUAUCUCUGAGUAAAAAAACAAAUAAGUUA
RNAcentral lists this unclassified non-coding RNA (154 nucleotides) under uncultured Xylariaceae. RNAcentral's name for it is "sequence contains ITS1". The record is from RNAcentral. Lineage: Eukaryota; Fungi; Ascomycota; Sordariomycetes; Xylariales; Xylariaceae.